UACGGAGGGGGCUAGCGUUGUUCGGAAUUACUGGGCGUAAAGGGCGCGUAGGCGGACAGUUUAGUCAGGGGUGAAAUCCCAGGGCUCAACCCUGGAACUGCCUUUGAUACUGGCUGUCUUGAGUACGGGAGAGGUGUGUGGAACUCCGAGUGUAGAGGUGAAAUUCGUAGAUAUUCGGAAGAACACCAGUGGCGAAGGCGACACACUGGCCCGUUACUGACGCUGAGGCGCGAAAGCGUGGGGAGCAAACAGG
RNAcentral lists this ribosomal RNA (253 nucleotides) under uncultured Caulobacteraceae bacterium. RNAcentral describes it as "partial 16S ribosomal RNA". It matches the Rfam family "Bacterial small subunit ribosomal RNA", at positions 524 to 776 of the family's 1533-position model. Lineage: Bacteria; Pseudomonadati; Pseudomonadota; Alphaproteobacteria; Caulobacterales; Caulobacteraceae. The record is from RNAcentral.